This 434-nucleotide ribosomal RNA is filed under the name uncultured bacterium. RNAcentral's name for it is "partial 16S ribosomal RNA". It matches the Rfam family "Bacterial small subunit ribosomal RNA", at positions 29 to 507 of the family's 1533-position model. The record is from RNAcentral.
AGCGAACGCUGGCGGCAGGCCUAACACAUGCAAGUCGAACGAACCUUUCGGGGUUAGUGGCGGACGGGUGAGUAACACGUGGGAACGUGCCUUUAGGUUCGGAAUAACUCAGUGAAACUUGUGCUAAUACCGAAUGUGCCCUUCGGGGGAAAGAUUUAUCGCCUUUAGAGCGGCCCGCGUCUGAUUAGCUAGUUGGUUGAGGUAAUGGCUCACCAAGGCGACGAUCAGUAGCUGGUCUGAGAGGAUGAUCAGCCACAUUGGGACUGAGACACGGCCCAAACUCCUACGGGAGGCAGCAGUGGGGAAUCUUGCGCAAUGGGCGAAAGCCUGACGCAGCCAUGCCGCGUGAAUGAUGAAGGUCUUAGGAUUGUAAAAUUCUUUCACCGGGGACGAUAAUGACGGUACCCGGAGAAGAAGCCCCGGCUAACUUCGUG